CAGGGAUCCAGCCAGCUGAGCCCUGGAGGGGUGCACCCACCUUCCCCUCCUGGCCUCCUGCCGGAGGCGAGCUGCAGUCUCCUUUGGAUCUUUUUGCGGUCUGGGCUUGCUGUUCCUCUCAACAGUAGUCAGGAAGCCCUUACCCCAAAAAGUAUCUGCGGGAGGCCUUGUCUACAGGGGUGAUGCCCCCCCAAAGGGUCCAGGUGUGUCACAGACGAGGACAGCAACAAGUGGGAGUCAUCAACCUAGCUUUCCCGUAGAGCUGCUGGUUGGCCUCAGGACAAACGCUGAGCCUCUCUGUGCCUCAAUGCUCUGCUACACAUUUAAUCAUUUAUCUGUGCACAGUGUCUAGUGGGAGGUUCCAUCAGGAGACCCAAGACAGGCCUGGGAAUUGGAAUCCUGGAUGGAGGGACGCAAGAUUGGGAACAAACUGAUCCCAGCAGCUGUGCUAAAGAGAAGACUGAGCUUGGGCCUUCUGCGUCCCCUGAACUGCCUAGCGCCCGCCCUUUCUUAGCCUGGACCUUCAAGUGCCCCCCUCCUGAAUCUGGCGAACCACCCCCAAAUCCUUCCAAUAAAAUCCUCAUUGCUUUA
Molecule: long non-coding RNA, 591 nt
Organism: Herpailurus yagouaroundi (jaguarundi)
Lineage: Eukaryota; Metazoa; Chordata; Mammalia; Carnivora; Felidae
Exons: 2
Source: RefSeq, a predicted model, not a curated record